RNAcentral lists this ribosomal RNA (478 nucleotides) under uncultured Desulfotomaculum sp. Its description in RNAcentral is "bacterial SSU rRNA". It matches the Rfam family "Bacterial small subunit ribosomal RNA", at positions 916 to 1382 of the family's 1533-position model. Lineage: Bacteria; Bacillati; Bacillota; Clostridia; Eubacteriales; Desulfotomaculaceae. The record is from RNAcentral.
GGGGCCCGCACAAGCGGUGGAGCAUGUGGUUUAAUUUCGACGCAACGCGAAGAACCUUACCAGGGCUUGACAUCUUCUGACCGCUUAAGGAAACUUAAGCUUUCCGGAAGGUUUACUUUCUGGACAGAAAGACAGGUGGUGCAUGGUUGUCGUCAGCUCGUGUCGUGAGAUGUUGGGUUAAGUCCCGCAACGAGCGCAACCCCUACGGUUAGUUGCUAACGGGUAAGGCCGAGCACUUUAGCCGAACUGCCGUUGACAAAACGGAGGAAGCGGGGAUGACGUCAAAUCAUCAUGCCCUUUAUGUCCUGGGCUACACACGUGCUACAAUGGCCUGUACAAAGGGCAGCAAAGGGGCGACCCGGAGCAAAUCCCAAAAACAGGUCUCAGUUCGGAUUGCAGGCUGCAACUCGCCUGCAUGAAGGCGGAAUCGCUAGUAAUCGCAGGUCAGCAUACUGCGGUGAAUACGUUCCCGGGCCUU